RNAcentral lists this unclassified non-coding RNA (427 nucleotides) under fungal sp. RNAcentral's name for it is "partial internal transcribed spacer region". The stretch from base 1 to 46 matches the Rfam family "Eukaryotic small subunit ribosomal RNA", at positions 1786 to 1831 of the family's 1831-position model. Lineage: Eukaryota; Fungi. The record is from RNAcentral.
AAGUCGUAACAAGGUUUCCGUAGGUGAACCUGCGGAAGGAUCAUUAACACUUAUUUUUAGUUGCCUAAUCAACAAAUAAAAAAAGCAAUAAUAGGCAUAAAGAGGAGCGAGAACCAAUAGCAAUAUUGGAUUUUGCUUUCUUUAUUUUGCCCUAUUAUUGUUUUUUGUUUAGUCCCAAUAGCACAUUUGUGAAAACAAAAAAGGAAUUUGGUGUAGUGAGACCCCUUAAGUUAAUUACAUGCUAGACAUAGAAGGAUUGAAAUAUGUAUAGUAUGUAAUUACUCAUUUGUUUAACCCCAUUGACCCAAUGCAAUAAAAAGAGUCGUUUCUUUUUGAUUCCUAACAAAAAAACAAAAUUGGAUAAUUCCUUUAAUUAAUGAAACAAAAUAAGAGAACAACUCUUAACAAUGGAUAUCUUGGUUCUCGC